Molecule: ribosomal RNA, 251 nt
Filed under: uncultured bacterium
Lineage: Bacteria
Also listed under: 1 other name
Description: partial 16S ribosomal RNA
Rfam family: Bacterial small subunit ribosomal RNA
Source: RNAcentral
ACGGAGGGUGCGAGCGUUAAUCGGAAUAACUGGGCGUAAAGGGCACGCAGGCGGUGACUUAAGUGAGGUGUGAAAGCCCCGGGCUUAACCUGGGAAUUGCAUUUCAUACUGGGUCGCUAGAGUACUUUAGGGAGGGGUAGAAUUCCACGUGUAGCGGUGAAAUGCGUAGAGAUGUGGAGGAAUACCGAAGGCGAAGGCAGCCCCUUGGGAAUGUACUGACGCUCAUGUGCGAAAGCGUGGGGAGCAAACAG